AGAAACCAACAGGGAUUGCCUCAGUAACGGCGAGUGAAGCGGCAACAGCUCAAAUUUGAAAUCUGGCCUCUUCGGGGUCCGAGUUGUAAUUUGGAGAGGAUGUUUCGGGCACGGUCCGGGCUUAUAUUUCUUGGAACAGAAUGUCAUAGAGGGUGAGAAUCCCGUCUGGAGCUCGGACACGACCUAUGUGAAACUCCUUCGACGAGUCGAGUUGUUUGGGAAUGCAGCUCUAAAUGGGUGGUAAAUUUCAUCUAAAGCUAAAUAUUGGCCAGAGACCGAUAGCGCACAAGUAGAGUGAUCGAAAGAUGAAAAGCACUUUGAAAAGAGAGUUAAAAAGUACGUGAAAUUGUUGAAAGGGAAGCGCUGGCGACCAGACUUGCGCGUCGGGGUUCCCCCUUGCUUCUGCUUGGGUUACUCCCCGGCGUUCAGGCCAACAUCGGUUUCGGGGGUUGGUUAAAGGCCUUGGGAAUGUACCUACCCUCCGGGGUAGACUUAUAGCCCAGGGUGUCAUGCGACCUCCCGGGACCGAGGAACGCGCUUCGGCUCGGAUGUUGGCGUAAUGGUUGUCAGCGACC
This 575-nucleotide ribosomal RNA is filed under the name Cyphellophora europaea. Its description in RNAcentral is "eukaryotic LSU rRNA". It matches the Rfam family "Eukaryotic large subunit ribosomal RNA", at positions 60 to 649 of the family's 3401-position model. The record is from RNAcentral. Lineage: Eukaryota; Fungi; Ascomycota; Eurotiomycetes; Chaetothyriales; Cyphellophoraceae.